This is an RNA transcript of Pyrgilauda ruficollis (rufous-necked snowfinch), 3698 nucleotides long. It is a transcript of the gene named chromosome unknown C4orf33 homolog, with no coding region annotated. Lineage: Eukaryota; Metazoa; Chordata; Aves; Passeriformes; Passeridae. The record is from RefSeq and is a predicted model, not a curated record. The transcript is spliced from 7 exons.
GGGGGUUGUGGGUUAGGGAUAGGCGCUUAAACUUCCCCUCGGGAAAACAAUCGGGUUGUGGCCGGAGCAGCGGAGCGAGGAGGCGACGGCAGAAGAGGACACAGCCCGGAACUGCAUCUGGGGAGGGACAGUUGUGUAGUACUGAAGAUGGAAUUUCGAAUUAAACACACCUGGGAUGGUUUGCCCGUGAGCCACGAGCCGGUUACAAUUGGGCUGAGGCCGGAUAAUGCAGGACUGCUGAUGGAAGUUCGAGCUCCUUUCUUUAAUGACCCUCCAGCACCUCCUGGAGAGCCAGGGAAACCUUUUGGUGGGCUGUGGGACUAUGAGGUUGUAGAAGCAUUCUUUCUGAGUGGCAGAACUGAGCAGUAUUUGGAAGUUGAGCUUUGUCCCCAUGGGCAGUACUUACUGCUGCUGCUUUCUGGCAGAAGAAAAGCAUGGAAAGAAGAGCUUCCUUUGGAGUUUGAGGUGACCAGAAUGAAAACCAAAUGGGAGGGUAAAGCUCUUCUUCCUUGGAGCUAUUUUCCACCAUGCACUGACAAGUUCAAUGGCUUUGCAAUUCAUGGCUCAGGAGAAGAGAGAAAUUAUGAAGCACUUUAUCCUGUGCCUCCACACCAGCUGCAGGAAGGGCAGGAACCAGAUUUUCAUCGUUUGGAAUUUUUCAAAGACUUGAACCUGAAAGAACUAACAGGAGAAGACUGGAAGCAGCCUGAAUCAGAUCUAUGGAAAUCUCUCACCAAGUGAAUGGAUUGAGGCAUAAAUUUUUAUAAUGUUGAAGUUGGCUGGAGCUGUGUGGAAACAACUUCCUCAUUCUGAGCAGAGGUUGUAGAUACCAGAUUAGCAAGGCUUUCCUUGGCACCAAAAUCAUGGAUCAGUCUGAAAAUCAACUGCAAAGCAUGUGGAUCUGUUGAUUCUAAAUGUAUGAAUGGCUUGGAGUUUUUCAUCUGUGCAAGAGAUUAAUCUUCUGCUACCAGUGAAGGAAGAAUGUGCUGAAAUUGCAGCUGUGCUUUUGUGAGAGCUCUGAAGUGUGACAAGGCCAAUACCUGGAUUGAAUCUUUUGUUUUCCUAUAGUUGCUGCAUUUCUGCUGUAUUUUCACUACUGCUCAUUUGUUUGUUGACUGCUGAAGGAGAUCCUUUUGUGCCUAGAUUUUUUGCUUACAAUCGGGAGGAAGAAUGUAGCUAUCAUGGAUUUUGGAGGCUCAGUACUUGCCCUGCAAGAAGCAUAACGCUGUCCUUUCCUGUAUGUUCCUGUGCCUGAAGUUUUCCCUUGCUUAAUGCCAAAGGGGGAACUUAUUCUGUCUCACAGACCUCUCUGUGGAGUUCCUAAUGGUGUUUAGGUGCAGAGGAUAGAUUUACAAAAGGUUUUCUGUAUUUCAGGUGAAGUUUCUGGGACAAAUCAUGCUUAGUAAAAUCUUUUGGUAUAGUUGUGUGUGCAAAAGUGGGUUUUUUUCCUAAGACUUGUCACAUCAAGUGACAUUUAAGAAUUAGAUGCAUCUCAGAUGUCUGAGGAUUUUUUUUUUUUUUUUUUUGCAUGCCACUGGGGGCUGGAGAUACUCCAGGUGUAUAUUUUCUGUGUAUGGGCAUGAGUCAUUUUAACAAUAGUGAAUAUUCUAAGGUGGCAACAUCUAAUCUGUAAACCCUCAUAAGACGUACAAAUCAUAUGUUCCUUUUUUUUUGUCUAGCAUAGCAGUUGCUGCUUGAUAGUGGCUGCUGAUUUAAUCUUAUAUAAAUUAUCUUAAAAAAUGUGAAGCUUGCUCACUAACUAGAUCCUUGCCAGUAUGCAGUAAUAAACACAUUCUGAUGGUCCUAUUUUUGUUGCUGUCUUCCAGCUUCACUCUAGCUGUAAGUUCUGCCUGGGAAGCAAAGAGGGUGGGAAUAUUCCUUUGUGAAGAGCAUCUCAGUCUGGUUAAUAUCUGAGAUAGCAUGUUAGUUCACAGUUUUUGUUUAGUUUAGAUUCCCUCUUUGUACUUCCAGUUUUAUAGAACUGUGCUUUCAAUUUUGAAGAUACUAUUUUUUUUUUUCCUCUGGCAGAUUUUGGCAUGUCAGUGCACUCAGCCAUCCAAUUGCUUUUGCAAUUAGACAAUAUAGGCUCCUUGCUGCAAAGUGCCACCUGUUGAAAAUUGCUGAUUUGUGAGAGGUGGUUCGAACAACCUGCAGUGAAACAACAUGAAAACUGUGGCUUAAGAGGGACAGAAAAUUCUUUGUCUUCAAUGCAAAAAUGAAAAAAAAUAUGUAAAGAAAACUUGGAUGGUAACGUGUGCUACUGGUAGAAGUGAUUUGUACCUUAAAUACAAAGCUGUAGCAACUUAGGCUUUCAGGUAACAUAGAAAUAUUUCUUGUAGUGAUCCUGCACAUUGGGGCUUUUUUUGGAUGCAAAAGCUCUUAACAGGAGUAAAAUUUUGCUCAUGUCUUUGUAUGCUUUUAAAUAUUUUUUUCCUAGUAUGCCAGGUCAGAUAUUAGAGCUAGGAAGCUCAAAUUUAAUUCAGGACUAUAUACAUUUUGACUGCUAUGGCUGAUACAGCUACUGCCUUAUCUGUUCUAGUUAUUAGAUACAUGAGCGAGUUAAUAUUUGUACUGCCCAGCACCAUUGAUGGUAAGUUACUGCUGAAUGUGAUGUUAAGUACUGCUGCUUGCAGUUCCUUUUUCAAGGCUGUUUUGUGCCUCUGAAAGGCACAGCACAAAAUGUUUUGUUGUGUUUUAAAUUCUGACCAUGUAAAAAUCCUUUCGAAAUGUGAAUGGCACAGUGCAUAAUUUGCUGCAUGUAAAAUUUAAAAGUAUUCUUCCCUGGUACCAGGGCAAUCUCUAAAGUGGAAUUCAUUGCAUUUAAUUAUGGUACAUUUAGAAUAAUGGUGCUGAAAUUUGAUAGUUAACCUGCAUUUAUUUAGUUGGUAAUUCCCUUCUUUUUUCUUUUGUUGAGUGCUUUAGUUUGCUGCAGUGUCUCUGAGCAGUGCUUCAGCAAAAGUACAGGGAAGUGUGUUAAGCCUGAUUUAUUUGCACAGGUUGUAUAAACAGCUGUGUAUGAACAUAUAAACAGCUUCAGUGAGAUCAAUACAACACUUAUCAUAAACUGUAUUGCAGUUAGGCCUUUUUCCAUCUCCUUGUCUGUCUGCUGCAAUUAGUAUUGUCAGGAGAAUUCCGUUCUGUCCAAGCUUGUUUUCAUUAUUCUGUUUCUAAACAGGUAAAAGCCUUGGCUGCAGGGGGUCUGUGGGAGGCUUUCCAAUGAUGGAUCAGGAGGCACUGUUUGUAUCUGCACUGGCUAUGAACAUACCAAAAUAUUUUCCUGUUUCAUUUUCAGAAAUUAUUCUGUAGACUCUCAUGAAGUAUGUGUGUAAAUACUGCCUGCCAGUUAUGUAGUGUAUUUGCAAAUACAAAUGUAUUUUUAAAUGCGGUAGACCAGAACUGACUAAAUAGUGUUAAAAUAGCUGAAGUAAACAUUACUGAAGUAAAAUUAAAUUACUAUGUCUUCACUGUUGUUUUAAAACCAGCCCAGACUAGUCCAGUAGCUUUCUUGGUCUAUGGAACAGAUUCUUGAGGGGGAAAAAAAAAGUUUUCAGAUGUUACCUUUUUAUAAUACAGAAAUUCCCUCUGUAGAGCACAUUUGUUGCCAAUUUAAUCUUGCCUUUCAUUUCAUGAGUUAUUUCUCUUGAACUCGGUCUCUGCAGGCAAUGAAAUUUAUAUCUUGGUGCCACUAGUAGCUGUCA